Long non-coding RNA from Cuculus canorus (common cuckoo), 1392 nucleotides. RefSeq lists it as uncharacterized. The record is from RefSeq and is a predicted model, not a curated record. The transcript is spliced from 3 exons. NCBI's taxonomy places the organism in Eukaryota, Metazoa, Chordata, Aves, Cuculiformes, Cuculidae.
CGGCUUCCCUAAAGCCGCGGGGAACGCAGACGCUGAGCGUGUUUCUGGGCGGCGCGGGGUCUGGCGAAGCGGAGCGCCCCGUGCCUCGUCCUGGAGGGAGUAUCGGCUUCCUCGAGCCCGGGACGGGACGCAGCGGCGAGCGCGGUAGUGCGGUCAUGUCAGCCCAGAGCUGCUCGGCGCGAGGCCGUCAUCCCGUCAGCGGCUCUGAGGAUGCGGUUGGAAAGAUCAGAGAACACAAUCCUGGAGUAUUGGCAUCCUUUUGCUGAGAAGAAGUUGGUUUCAGGACCUUCCAGAUGCAAAUAAGACGGAUCCCAAGGGCAGCGCUUGAGGAACUCUGGUAGCUGCCUCUGUCCAGCUUGGUGCUUUGCUUUCAACAUUUGAUGAGAAGCAUCUACUCUUUGUAAACUGACAUGGAGACCACUGUUCUGGCAUGUAUUUUUAAAUGAGAUUUUAAGAUGCAAUUUGUAAACAGAAGAAGCAGAGAUGGGAUAAAUGUUUGUUUUGUCAAAGACAUUAGAAUCCUUACUUAAGGCUCUAAAGCUAUUUUGAUCCAUCAAAGUUUCCCCUGCUCCCUCAGACUGCUAAUAUUUGCAGGCAAUUCACUACUUUAUAUGAGAGCAUUUUAACAGCCUCAGAAAAAUCAAAGACAAAUAAACAAUAUUAAUACUAAGAUUAAGUAUAAAGAAGUAUAAUAUAAUUUUUUGUUUCAUUUGAUUUAAAGUUCAGAUUAGAGGACAUCAGAAAACCUACAGCUUUUCUCCUCUUUCGUCCAAGUUUGAAUAAAAACUAUUAAGGUAAAGCGAAAAGCCUUUGUGAGAAAGAAGGUUGUCAGGUUCAUUCAGAUCCAGAAAUUGAAAUACUUCUCAGAACAGUAAGGCAGCAACCCUAUUAACUGUUUCAGUUUAAUCUGCAAAUCACAAAGCUGCAUCAGAACUAGCAACAAUUUAUGUAAGUCUUUACAGUUUCAGUAUACAAGGCAAGUCAUAAAGCUAAACUAACACCUACUAUCUGCUUUCUCUCAUUUCUGAGAUUGUAAACUGUUUGAGGUAGGGCUAGUUUUAAGAUUAUUCUGUUUCCAUAGUGCUUGGAAAAAUGGGCUCUUUUUCUUAGUUGGCGCUAUUGUAGAAAAAAACAUUUCUGAAGAUGUAUGGACAAAAACUGCCCUGUUGUCAAUGAAUCAUGGAUACUAGUAAUGCUUUACAUAUUUUCUCUUAGACUCCACAUUCUAUAAAGAUUUUUUUACAAAAAAUAUCUUCCCCUGUAAAUAACAAAGUACAUGUAUUUGCUGUACAAAGAGCUCAGUUAAUGUAAUGACUAAAUCCAAUUCACAAAUACACUAAAAAUUUAGUCAGGUUUUAGAAACUAUUUUUAAUUCCUUCCAUUGUACACAGA